GCCUAGUUAGCUUAGUUUGGUAGUGCGUCCGCCUUGGUAAGCGCUAGGCCGCGGGUUCGAUUCCCGCCCGGGGCG
RNAcentral lists this transfer RNA (75 nucleotides) under Diaphorina citri (Asian citrus psyllid). It matches the Rfam family "tRNA". From Rfam's summary of the family: Transfer RNA (tRNA) molecules are approximately 80 nucleotides in length. Their secondary structure includes four short double-helical elements and three loops (D, anti-codon, and T loops). Further hydrogen bonds mediate the characteristic L-shaped molecular structure. tRNAs have two regions of fundamental functional importance: the anti-codon, which is responsible for specific mRNA codon recognition, and the 3' end, to which the tRNAs corresponding amino acid is attached (by aminoacyl-tRNA synthetases). tRNAs cope with the degeneracy of the genetic code in two manners: having more than one tRNA (with a specific anti-codon) for a particular amino acid; and 'wobble' base-pairing, i.e. permitting non-standard base-pairing at the 3rd anti-codon position. The record is from Rfam by way of RNAcentral. Lineage: Eukaryota; Metazoa; Arthropoda; Insecta; Hemiptera; Psyllidae.